This 369-nucleotide long non-coding RNA is filed under the name Mytilus galloprovincialis (Mediterranean mussel). The record is from RNAcentral. Lineage: Eukaryota; Metazoa; Mollusca; Bivalvia; Mytilida; Mytilidae.
UUAGGUGAACGUUUGUAUGUAACGACCACUGCUCACUAUGUACUUUUUAAAGACACUUAAACUAUGGGGUCACCAAAGGUUCACAACACCUUAAUAAAGUAAUUCGAAAAAUUAAUCAGAAAUAACACGAUGUUUUGAUUUAUACUAAUUAUAUAAAUCAAAACAUAAAGGUUGUUCCUGAUUAAUUUUUCGAAUUAUUUUAUAAUUAAAGGCGUUAAGAAACCUUUGGUGACCCCACAGUUUAAAUGUCUAUCGUAGGUACGUCGUGAACAGUGGUCGUUACAGACAAACGUUCACGUAAAUUGUCCCAGUCAAUGGAUGAAUUUAAUGUGUCAAUCAAUGUCCACAGCCACACUGUUUUGAAUUUCA